This 90-nucleotide transfer RNA is filed under the name Streptomyces capillispiralis. Its description in RNAcentral is "tRNA-Tyr". Lineage: Bacteria; Bacillati; Actinomycetota; Actinomycetes; Kitasatosporales; Streptomycetaceae. The record is from RNAcentral.
GCGGCGGGGCGUCCCGGCUGCUCGCGGCGGCGGUGUACGCGCUGUGGCCGGUGUUCACGACGGUCGUCGGUUCGACGUCGGCCGCCGCGC